This is a long non-coding RNA of Gadus chalcogrammus (walleye pollock), 627 nucleotides long. RefSeq lists it as uncharacterized. NCBI's taxonomy places the organism in Eukaryota, Metazoa, Chordata, Actinopteri, Gadiformes, Gadidae. The record is from RefSeq and is a predicted model, not a curated record. The transcript has 5 exons.
ACAUGACCCCUCACACAUUGUUGAAAUCAUAUGCUGGAUGCUUUAAUGUUUUUAUGUGUUUUUUAGUUAAUGCUCGGGCUAUAAGAAGACCACGUUGGCUAUUUAAUAGCGGAAUAAAGGGGACCUUUCAUAGUGGUUGGUGGAAAUCGAGACAUUUUAGUGUCAAAAGGUUGUCGGUAGUCGGGACACGCAACUCAAAAUCGGGACGUCUGGUCACCCUACGAGUAGACUAAUAAUAAGCCACAGCAUGCAUGUUCCCCACGGUGUGCUGGCUUGAGGAGAAGGACGCUUCAGAUUCAGAUUCUGACACCAGUGCUGAGAUUGAUGAAGAUAAUAAGGUUGCCAGUGCUGAGGUUGAUGAAGUCUUCUUCUCCUCGUCGUUCAACACAUUCAUCUCCCUCAGGUAAUGCAGGAGAUUGAUGACAUCGUGGUCCGACAACAUGCCGAAUAAUUUAGAGCCAAUCCUUCCAAGUUCUGAAAGAUAAGUCAAGAGAAAUGGAAAAUGGCAUCAAAGCAAAACGUUACAACAAUUCUCAAAUUACCACCUGUUGUUGUAGUGUUGGUGGAAGAUGCCAAAUAAAACGAAUUUCUCAACUUUACCUAUAAGCUUCUGUGUGUUCAUCUUAA